Molecule: transfer RNA, 76 nt
Filed under: Pseudomonas sp.
Lineage: Bacteria; Pseudomonadati; Pseudomonadota; Gammaproteobacteria; Pseudomonadales; Pseudomonadaceae
Description: tRNA-Val
Rfam family: tRNA
About the family: Transfer RNA (tRNA) molecules are approximately 80 nucleotides in length. Their secondary structure includes four short double-helical elements and three loops (D, anti-codon, and T loops).
Source: RNAcentral
GGGUUAUUAGCUCAGCCGGGAGAGCACCUGACUUACAAGCAGAGGGUCGGCGCAUAGAUCCCGUCAUCACCCACCA